This 291-nucleotide long non-coding RNA is filed under the name Gossypium barbadense (sea-island cotton). RNAcentral's name for it is "long non-coding RNA (GBAR_LNC011409)". The record is from RNAcentral. Lineage: Eukaryota; Viridiplantae; Streptophyta; Magnoliopsida; Malvales; Malvaceae.
ACCGAAGAAAAAAACAACACAUUGUUGACACUUAAAAAUCCAACAAUCAAAAUUUACCUCAUCCUAUAAUAAACAACCAACCAUAAUACUAAACCUUGUGGCAGAAUUUAAGCUGCAAUGGAUGGCUUAGAGGCAGCAGACAGCCUGGAUCUCUUCUUGGCUAAGCUCUCGCUCCUGCGCUCACGUUGCUCCUUCAACCUCUGAGCAAGGAGCUUCUGGUACUCUGCAGCCUCAGCUUUGGCCUUUGCAACUCUCUUCUUCUUCUCUGCAAUUCUGCCACGCUUCCUCUGC